GACGAACGCUGGCGGCGUGCUUAACACAUGCAAGUCGAACGGAAAGGCCCUGCUUUUGUGGGGUGCUCGAGUGGCGAACGGGUGAGUAACACGUGAGUAACCUGCCCUUGACUUUGGGAUAACUUCAGGAAACUGGGGCUAAUACCGGAUAGGAGCUCCUGCUGCAUGGUGGGGGUUGGAAAGUUUCGGCGGUUGGGGAUGGACUCGCGGCUUAUCAGCUUGUUGGUGGGGUAGUGGCUUACCAAGGCUUUGACGGGUAGCCGGCCUGAGAGGGUGACCGGCCACAUUGGGACUGAGAUACGGCCCAGACUCCUACGGGAGGCAGCAGUGGGGAAUAUUGCACAAUGGGCGGAAGCCUGAUGCAGCAACGCCGCGUGCGGGAUGACGGCCUUCGGGGUGUAAACCGCUUUCGACUGUGACGAAGCGUGAGUGACGGUAAUGGGUAAAGAAGCACCGGCUAACUACGUG
RNAcentral lists this ribosomal RNA (468 nucleotides) under uncultured bacterium. Its description in RNAcentral is "partial 16S ribosomal RNA". It matches the Rfam family "Bacterial small subunit ribosomal RNA", at positions 28 to 507 of the family's 1533-position model. The record is from RNAcentral.